AGAGUUUGAUCAUGGCUCAGGAUGAACGCCGGCGGUGUGCCUAAUACAUGCAAGUCGAACGCGUUGGCCCAACUGAUUGAACGUGCUUGUACGGACUUGACGUUGGUUUACCAGCGAGUGGCGGACGGGUGAGUAACACGUAGGUAACCUGCCCCAAAGCGGGGGAUAACAUUUGGAAACAGAUGCUAAUACCGCAUAACAAUUUGAAUCGCAUGAUUCAAAUUUAAAAGAUGGCUUCGGCUAUCACUUUGGGAUGGACCUGCGGCGCAUUAGCUUGUUGGUAGGGUAACGGCCUACCAAGGCUGUGAUGCGUAGCCGAGUUGAGAGACUGAUCGGCCACAAUGGAACUGAGACACGGUCCAUACUCCUACGGGAGGCAGCAGUAGGGAAUCUUCCACAAUGGGCGCAAGCCUGAUGGAGCAACACCGCGUGAGUGGAGAAGGGCUUCGGCUCGUAAAGCUCUGUUGUUAGAGAAGAACGUGCGUGAGAGCAACUGUUCACGCAGUGACGGUAUCUAACCAGAAAGUCACGGCUAACUACGUGCCAGCAGCCGCGGUAAUACGUAGGUGGCAAGCGUUAUCCGGAUUUAUUGGGCGUAAAGCGAGCGCAGGCGGUUUGAUAAGUCUGAUGUGAAAGCCUUUGGCUUAACCAAAGAAGUGCAUCGGAAACUGUCAGACUUGAGUGCAGAAGAGGACAGUGGAACUCCAUGUGUAGCGGUGGAAUGCGUAGAUAUAUGGAAGAACACCAGUGGCGAAGGCGGCUGUCUGGUCUGCAACUGACGCUGAGGCUCGAAAGCAUGGGUAGCGAACAGGAUUAGAUACCCUGGUAGUCCAUGCCGUAAACGAUGAGUGCUAGGUGUUGGAGGGUUUCCGCCCUUCAGUGCCGUAGCU
This 890-nucleotide ribosomal RNA is filed under the name uncultured bacterium. RNAcentral describes it as "bacterial SSU rRNA". It matches the Rfam family "Bacterial small subunit ribosomal RNA", at positions 8 to 853 of the family's 1533-position model. The record is from RNAcentral.